RNAcentral lists this ribosomal RNA (691 nucleotides) under Bordetella bronchiseptica. RNAcentral describes it as "bacterial SSU rRNA". It matches the Rfam family "Bacterial small subunit ribosomal RNA", at positions 126 to 812 of the family's 1533-position model. Lineage: Bacteria; Pseudomonadati; Pseudomonadota; Betaproteobacteria; Burkholderiales; Alcaligenaceae. The record is from RNAcentral.
GUGCCCAGUAGCGGGGGAUAACUACGCGAAAGCGUGGCUAAUACCGCAUACGCCCUACGGGGGAAAGCGGGGGACCUUCGGGCCUCGCACUAUUGGAGCGGCCGAUAUCGGAUUAGCUAGUUGGUGGGGUAACGGCCUACCAAGGCGACGAUCCGUAGCUGGUUUGAGAGGACGACCAGCCACACUGGGACUGAGACACGGCCCAGACUCCUACGGGAGGCAGCAGUGGGGAAUUUUGGACAAUGGGGGCAACCCUGAUCCAGCCAUCCCGCGUGUGCGAUGAAGGCCUUCGGGUUGUAAAGCACUUUUGGCAGGAAAGAAACGGCACGGGCUAAUAUCCUGUGCAACUGACGGUACCUGCAGAAUAAGCACCGGCUAACUACGUGCCAGCAGCCGCGGUAAUACGUAGGGUGCAAGCGUUAAUCGGAAUUACUGGGCGUAAAGCGUGCGCAGGCGGUUCGGAAAGAAAGAUGUGAAAUCCCAGGGCUUAACCUUGGAACUGCAUUUUUAACUACCGGGCUAGAGUGUGUCAGAGGGAGGUGGAAUUCCGCGUGUAGCAGUGAAAUGCGUAGAUAUGCGGAGGAACACCGAUGGCGAAGGCAGCCUCCUGGGAUAACACUGACGCUCAUGCACGAAAGCGUGGGGAGCAAACAGGAUUAUAUACCCUGGUAGUCCACGCCCUAAACGAUGU